RNAcentral lists this ribosomal RNA (206 nucleotides) under uncultured bacterium. Its description in RNAcentral is "partial 16S ribosomal RNA". It matches the Rfam family "Bacterial small subunit ribosomal RNA", at positions 568 to 774 of the family's 1533-position model. The record is from RNAcentral.
CGCGUAGGUGGCGCGACAAGUCAGUGGUGAAAGCUCGACGCUCAACGUCGAGUCGGCCACUGAUACUGUUGGGCUUGAGCACUGUAGAGGCUAAUGGAAUUCCGGGUGUAGCGGUGGAAUGCGUAGAGAUCCGGAAGAACACCGGUGGCGAAGGCGGUUAGCUGGGCAGUUGCUGACACUGAGGCGCGACAGCGUGGGAGCAAACA